GGGCCCGCACAAGCGGUGGAGCAUGUGGUUUAAUUCGAUGAUACGCGAGGAACCUUACCAGGGCUUAAAUGUAAGUUGCAUGGAUCAGAGAUGAUCCUUUCUUCGGACCACUUACAAGGUGCUGCAUGGUUGUCGUCAGCUCGUGCCGUGAGGUGUCAGGUUAAGUCCCGCAACGAGCGCAACCCACGUCUUUAGUUGCCAGCAUUUAGUUGGGCACUCUAGAGAGACUGCCGGUGAUAAACCGGAGGAAGGUGUGGAUGACGUCAAGUCAUCAUGCCCCUUACAUCCUGGGCUACACACGUACUACAAUGCUACGGACAAAGGGCUGCAAGUUCGCGAGGACAAG
RNAcentral lists this ribosomal RNA (346 nucleotides) under uncultured bacterium. RNAcentral's name for it is "bacterial SSU rRNA". It matches the Rfam family "Bacterial small subunit ribosomal RNA", at positions 917 to 1267 of the family's 1533-position model. The record is from RNAcentral.